RNAcentral lists this ribosomal RNA (492 nucleotides) under uncultured bacterium. Its description in RNAcentral is "partial 16S ribosomal RNA". It matches the Rfam family "Bacterial small subunit ribosomal RNA", at positions 29 to 507 of the family's 1533-position model. The record is from RNAcentral.
AGUGAACGCUGGCGGUAGGCCUAACACAUGCAAGUCGAACGGCAGCACAGUAAGAGCUUGCUCUUACGGGUGGCGAGUGGCGGACGGGUGAGGAAUACAUCGGAAUCUACUUUUUCGUGGGGGAUAACGUAGGGAAACUUACGCUAAUACCGCAUACGACCUACGGGUGAAAGCAGGGGAUCUUCGGACCUUGCGCGAUUGAAUGAGCCGAUGUCGGAUUAGCUAGUUGGUGGGGUAAAGGCCCACCAAGGCGACGAUCCGUAGCUGGUCUGAGAGGAUGAUCAGCCACACUGGAACUGAGACACGGUCCAGACUCCUACGGGAGGCAGCAGUGGGGAAUAUUGGACAAUGGGCGCAAGCCUGAUCCAGCCAUACCGCGUGGGUGAAGAAGGCCUUCGGGUUGUAAAGCCCUUUUGUUGGGAAAGAAAAGCAGCAGGUUAAUACCCCGCUAUUCUGACGGUACCCAAAGAAUAAGCACCGGCUAACUUCGUG